Molecule: long non-coding RNA, 267 nt
Organism: Ictalurus punctatus (channel catfish)
Lineage: Eukaryota; Metazoa; Chordata; Actinopteri; Siluriformes; Ictaluridae
Exons: 2
Source: RefSeq, a predicted model, not a curated record
GUGGGGUUCUGCCUCUCCUGCCCCUAUGGACGAGCUGCUACUGUUCACACUGUCCUCACUUUUGUGUGUCACCGAUCCCAAAAAUCAGAGGAAUCAGAGGUGGUACCGUAUCUGUGAUCUUCUACUGUGUAGGACUCAAAUUGUCUUCAGUGAACAUCAAGUGAGUUUCCAUUUCAGUUCCAGUGAUUUGAAGUUCAGGUUUUUGUUGUUUCUCGUGUUGUGUGAAAGCAGAAGUGAAUGUGAGCAGUGAGAAGGUUUUUGUCAUGG